RNAcentral lists this unclassified non-coding RNA (343 nucleotides) under Hevea brasiliensis (rubber tree). The record is from RNAcentral. Lineage: Eukaryota; Viridiplantae; Streptophyta; Magnoliopsida; Malpighiales; Euphorbiaceae.
UAUGAACUUUGCAAAUUUUUCAAACAAAUUUGUGUUGCGCCAAGCUAUUACCAUUAUGUUAUGAUCGUUAUAGGCUUAUUUCCGUUACCCUUGACCGUGAUCUCGAACGCGGCCAUGACCAGAUUUAAAACUAUGGUAGUGGGUUCUGUUGAGGAUUUCUUAAAAGAGAGGCAGCAUAUCAGUAAUUUGUUGAAAGAAAAUUUAAAGAAUGCUCAGCACAUAAUAAAGCAACAGGCUGAUAAACAUAAAGUUGAAAGGGAAUUUGAAGUUAGGGAUUCGGUAUAUUUGAGACUCUAGCCCUAUAGAUAGACAUCCCUAACUCUGAGACACAACUUGAAACUUG